This 503-nucleotide ribosomal RNA is filed under the name uncultured bacterium. RNAcentral describes it as "bacterial SSU rRNA". It matches the Rfam family "Bacterial small subunit ribosomal RNA", at positions 15 to 518 of the family's 1533-position model. The record is from RNAcentral.
GAUCCUGGCUUAGGAUGAACGCUGGCGGCGUGCUUAACACAUGCAAGUCGAACGAGGCAUCUUAGAAAGCGUCUCGGACAAUGGAAGAGAUGACUGAGUGGCGGACGGGUGAGUAACGCGUGGGUAACCUGCCUCAUACAGGGGGAUAACAGUUAGAAAUGACUGCUAAUACCGCGUAAGCGCACAGUACCGCAUGGUACGGUGUGAAAAACUCUGGUGGUAUGAGAUGGACCCGCGUCUGAUUAGCUAGUUGGUGGGGCAAAGGCCUACCAAGGCGACGAUCAGUAGCCGACCUGAGAGGGUGACCGGCCACAUUGGGACUGAGACACGGCCCAGACUCCUACGGGAGGCAGCAGUGGGGAAUAUUGCACAAUGGAGGAAACUCUGAUGCAAGCGACGCCGCGUGAGCGAAGAAGUAUUUCGGUAUGUAAAGCUCUAUCAGCAAGGAAGAUAAUGACGGUACUUGACUAAGAAGCCCCGGCUAACUACGUGCCAGCAGCCGC